AUUGAACGCUGGCGGCAUGCCUUACACAUGCAAGUCGAGCGGCAGCGCGGGGGCAACCCUGGCGGCGAGCGGCGAACGGGUGAGUAAUACAUCGGAACGUGUCCAGUAGCGGGGGAUAACCUGUCGAAAGAUAGGCUAAUACCGCAUACGACCUACGGGUGAAAGCGGGGGACCGCACGGCCUCGCACUAUUGGAGCGGCCGAUGUCGGAUUAGCUAGUUGGCGGGGUAACGGCCCACCAAGGCGACGAUCCGUAGCUGGUCUGAGAGGACGACCAGCCACACUGGAACUGAGACACGGUCCAGACUCCUACGGGAGGCAGCAGUGGGGAAUUUUGGACAAUGGGCGCAAGCCUGAUCCAGCCAUGCCGCGUGAGUGAAGAAGGCCUUCGGGUUGUAAAGCUCUUUCGGCGGGGACGAAACGGUCCGUGCCAACACCACGGACUAAUGACGGUACUCGCAGAAGAAGCACCGGCUAACUACGUGCCAGCAGCCGCAGUAA
Molecule: ribosomal RNA, 500 nt
Filed under: uncultured bacterium
Lineage: Bacteria
Description: partial 16S ribosomal RNA
Rfam family: Bacterial small subunit ribosomal RNA
Source: RNAcentral